GAGAAGCCCGCGGUCGAUUAGCUAGUUGGCAGGGUAAUGGCCUACCAAGGCGACGAUCGAUAGCCGGCCUGAGAGGGCACACGGCCACACUGGCACUGAAACACGGGCCAGACUCCUACGGGAGGCAGCAGUGGGGAAUCUUGCACAAUGGGGGAAACCCUGAUGCAGCGACGCCGCGUGAGCGAUGAAGCCCUUCGGGGUGUAAAGCUCUUUCGACGGGGACGAUUAUGACGGUACCCGGAGAAGAAGCUGCGGCUAACUACGUGCCAGCAGCCGCGGUAAUACGUAGGCAGCAAGCGUUGUUCGGAAUUACUGGGCGUAAAGGGUGCGUAGGUGGUUGGUUAAGUUUGGUGUGAAAUCUCCCGGCUCAACUGGGAGGGUGCGCCGAAAACUGGCCGACUAGAGCGUGGGAGAGGGAAGUGGAAUUCCUGGUGUAGCGGUGAAAUGCGUAGAUAUCAGGAGGAACACCUGCGGUGUAGACGGCUUCCUGGACCAUGACUGACACUGAUGCACGAAAGCGUGGGUAGCAAACAGGAUUAGAU
This 542-nucleotide ribosomal RNA is filed under the name uncultured bacterium. Its description in RNAcentral is "bacterial SSU rRNA". It matches the Rfam family "Bacterial small subunit ribosomal RNA", at positions 224 to 783 of the family's 1533-position model. The record is from RNAcentral.